AGCAGGCGACUCCUCGGCGCCAUCGCUGUCGCUGGAAUCAGCCGCGCGCUGCCGAAAAGUCCUUUUCGGCCUGUGAGCCAUGGCCGAGGCCCGAGCGCCCGGCGCCCUAGAACCCGCUGAACCGCAAGCCGCAGCUUCAGUGCCCGCCCCCUAGGGCGCGCUCCCGCCGCGCCUGGCCGCCGAGUGCGCGCGCCCGUCCCGCCUGCCUUCUGCUCACCGCUACUCUGUCUGCGCCUGCGUGCUUUGGCUCCCUGGAUCUGGUAGGCCGAGUUCUGUUCUGGGGCCUGAGUUUGCAAAGCAUUCCCUUUGCCAGGUUAGGUUGCGUGGACUGACACCUUAGAGAUUUUCACGGCCUAUCCGGUCUGAGUCCCACGGAGAGCAGAACUCACGUGCUGUCCUUGUGCAAACCCCAUCCAGAAAUCAAGCGUUAUGCUUUCCGUCCUGGACUGGAGCCAGAUCCGUUGUCUUUUACUUUCUGGAGAGAGUGCCCCCUCCAACCAAGAUUUAAAACAAACGAAACCCCAGCAGUGUGAGGCUCGGGGUAGGAGGAGAUGCCUUUGAGAACAAAACCAUAAAGUCUGUACAUAAACAAUGCAUACAGACUAGCAAAAAUCAAAUGACUUCCCCCAGGCAGCAGGGCUUCAAGAGAGCCUGGUUAAAUGUUUUCACCCUUAAAGAAACUAUCUAAAAACAAAAAGCUAUUGUCUGACGCAAAUUUGUUCUAUAUUCAUCAAGCUCUGUCUACUACUGUAUCUGUAUGGUAGAAAUACUAUAUAAUGUUGAGCUACUGCACACCUGUUAUCAACUCCAUGUUUAGUGGCGUCAUAUUGAGAGGUGACAGCGGGCCAGCUGGAGUUCCGGGUGGGCAUGGGCUUGGCGGGCCUGCACUCGGAGCAGCCGGCCGGCCCUGCCAGCCCCGGGCAGUGAGGGACUUGGCACCCGGGCCAGCGGCUACAGAGGGUGUACUGGGUCCCCUAGCAGUGCCGGCCCACCGGCGCUGUGCUCGAUUUCUCGCCGGGCCUUAGCUGCCUUCCCGCGGUGCAGGGCUCGGGACCUGCAGCCCGCCAUGCCUGAGCCUCCCAUCCACUCCAUGGGCUCCUGUGCUGCCCGAGCAUCCCCGACGAGCACCACCCCCUGCUCCACGGCGCCCAGUCCCAUCGACCACCCAAGGGCUGAGGAGUACGAGCGCACGGCGCCGGACUGGCAGGCAGCUCCACCUGCAGCCCCGGUGCGGGAUCCACUAGGUGAAGCCAGUUGGGCUCCUGAGUCUGGUGGGGACAUAGAGAGUCUUUAUGUCUAGCUCAGGGAUUGUAAAUACACCAAUCAGCACUCUGUAUCUGGCUCAAGGUUUGUAAACACACCAAUCAGCACCCUGUGUUUAGCUCAAGGUUUAUGAGUGCACCAAUCGACACUCUGUAUCUAGCUGCUCUGGUGGGGCCUUGGAGAACCUUUAUGUCUAGCUCAGGGAUUGUAAAAACACCAAUCGGCACUCUGUAUCUAGCUCAAGGUUUGUAAACCCACCAAUCAGCACCCUGUGUUUAGCUCAAGGUUUGUGAGUGCACCAAUAGACAUUCUAUCUAGCUGCUCUGGUGAGGCCUUGGAGAACCUGUGUGUGGAAACUCUGUAUCUAACUAAUCUGAUGGGGAUGUGGAGAACUUUUGUAUCUAGCUCAGGGAUUGUAAACGCACCAAUCACGGCCCUGUCAAAACAGGCCGCUGGGCUCUACCAAUCAGCAGGAUGUGGGUGGGGCCAGAUAAGAGAAUAAAAGCAGGCUGCCCCAGCCAGCAGUGGCAACCCGCUCCGGUCCCCUUCCACAGUGUGGAAGCUUUGUUCUUUCGCUCUUUGCAAUAAAUCUUGCUACUGCUGACUCUUUGGGUCCACGUGGCUUUUAUGAGCUGUAACACUCACCGUGAAGAUCUGCAGCUUCAUUCCUGAGCCCAGCGAGACCACAAACCCACCAGAAGGAAGAAACUCCAAACACAUCUGAACAUCAGAAGGGGCAGACCCCAGACGCGCCACCUUAAGAGCUGUAACGCUCACCGCGAGGGUCCGCAGCUUCAUUCUUGAAAUCAGUGAGACCAAGAACCCACCAAUUCCGGACACAAUAUUGGCACCUUGAAAUCAGCCAUAAAGGGACUACUUAUACCAUAUAAAUUGGAAGACCUUAGAAGUCCAGGUGUUUCUCCCAGAUAUCCAGUCAUUAAACAUUUACCAUUGUAUCACUGACUAUAUGUCACCAAAGGAAUCGAGAAGAGGCAAAGUUUCUCUGAUUGACCUAGCCCCGGAAUUUUUUUUUCUUGGCUUUGUCUUUUUUUCUUGGCUUUUCUCAAUAAACUGAAACUCCUUGAUGUAAAAUUAGAGAACUACUUGUUUUUUUGUGUGUUUCUUUUGGAAAAUUGGCAAAUGGUGUGAAAAAGAUAUUUCUGGAGAAUAGAGAUACUUGUGGCAUCUGAAAGAACAGCUUCCUAUCAUGGACCAAGUGCUCCUUGUAGUUAGAAUAAACUUUAAAGAUUGGAGAUGGAGAAGUGGGUUCCGUUCGGUCCAGUGCUUUUCAGAUGCCAUCUUUCCAUGCAGAAUUCCCAAGUUCUGCCAUGGAUACUGCUCUGUACUCCCUUAGCAGAGGAGGACAUCUUUCCAAAUUACACUAUAAAGUAGUUAAUGCUAAACCAAACAGGAGACUAUAAUUUUUAGUUUAGUUAAUUUUAUGGACAGAGUCUCGCUCUGCCACCCAGUGCGAUGGUGCAAAUACAGCUCACUUCAGCCUUGACCUACUGGGCUUAGUGAUCCUCCCACCUUAGCCUCCUGAGGAUCUGGGACUACACGCGCAUACCCCAAUGCCCAGCUAAGACUAGCAUUUUGAAACAGUGAGGAGAAUGAGGAAGAUGAUCGUGAUUGUAAUUGGAGAGAAAUUCAGUGUUCUGUUAUGCACUCUUAAGGAAACAUAUUAAUAUAUCGUACAAUUCAAUCAGUGUUUAUUAUACACCUACUAGCACAGGCACCAUGCUAAGCCCUAGACUAAUGCUUAUCAAAUCUAAUGUUCUUCAAAGCACAUGGAAAUAGUGUGGACAUAUAGAUACUGAUUGAGCUGCUAUGUGUAGGAACCAAGAGUCUUCAUUUCUAGCAAGCUCCCAGGUGAAGGCGAGGAUACUUGUCUGAGGAUCACUCUAAAUAGCAAGGUCCUAGAGCAGAUACUAAGUAUUAAUCACCCUUAAGAAGGCU
Molecule: long non-coding RNA, 3219 nt
Filed under: Homo sapiens (human)
Lineage: Eukaryota; Metazoa; Chordata; Mammalia; Primates; Hominidae
Description: HSALNT0303710
Source: RNAcentral